Molecule: non-coding RNA, 150 nt
Filed under: Lepisosteus oculatus (spotted gar)
Lineage: Eukaryota; Metazoa; Chordata; Actinopteri; Semionotiformes; Lepisosteidae
Description: Eukaryotic large subunit ribosomal RNA
Rfam family: Eukaryotic large subunit ribosomal RNA
Source: Rfam by way of RNAcentral
AUAACUGGCUUGCUGCGGCCAAGCAUUUGUAGCGACGUCUCCUUGUGAUCCUUUAACAUUGGCUCUGUCCAUCAUUGUGAAGCAGAAAUCACUAAGUAUUGGAUACUUCACCCACAAUGGGGAGAAAAGGAAUUGAGUUUAGAACAAGUU